This 419-nucleotide long non-coding RNA is filed under the name Medicago truncatula (barrel medic). RNAcentral's name for it is "long non-coding RNA (MTRU_LNC007503)". The record is from RNAcentral. Lineage: Eukaryota; Viridiplantae; Streptophyta; Magnoliopsida; Fabales; Fabaceae.
AAAUUGUACCAGGAAGUAUAAGAAACUUCCCCAAGUAUUACAGACCUAGAAAUUAUAUAGAUAAAAGUCAAAAGAGAAUAUAUCAUAAAGGACCUAAAACAUCAAUCCUCAACAUCAUCCGCAUCGUCCACAUCAUCCUCCUUAUAUACGGGAUAAGGCUCAACAUUCGGACUUAAAACCGGCGCUUGAGUGUGGGAGGGAGCUUGAUCCUGUGCUUGCAUAAGUCGAGUCAGCUGCUCCUCGUAUAAUCUUUGGCGGUUAAUCAAUUCUUGCACAAGGGCUGCUUGACUUGCCAUCUGCUGCGAGAACUGCUCUUGUGACAAUCUAUGAAUGAGCUCCCGCAUCUCUGGCGUCAGCUGAGGCUGCUGGGAGGUUCCUUCACCCUGAUUGAGGGUUAGUCUGAGGGUUGAUGCAACACU